This is a long non-coding RNA of Oncorhynchus tshawytscha (Chinook salmon), 388 nucleotides long. NCBI's taxonomy places the organism in Eukaryota, Metazoa, Chordata, Actinopteri, Salmoniformes, Salmonidae. The record is from Ensembl.
CUAGGACUGGCUUUGCAGUGUUGGUUAAUGGACAAGGCUACAACUGGCUUUGCAGUGUUGGCUAAUGGACAAGGCUAAGACUGGCUUUGCAGUGUUGGCUAAUUGACAAAGCUAGGACUGGCUUUGCAGUGUUGGCUAAUUGACAAGGCUAGGACUAGCUUUGCAGUGUUGGCUAAUUGACAAGGCUAGGACUGGCUUUGCAGUGUUGGCUAAUUGACAAGGCUAGGACUGGCUUUGUAGUGUUGGCUAAUUGACAAGGCUACAACUGCCUUUGCAGUGUUGGCUAAUUGACAAGGCUAGGACUGGCUUUGCCUAUUUAGAUCAGCUUUACCGAUGACCUCUCUCUCUCUCUCUCUCUCGGUCUCUCUCUCUCUCUCUCUCUCUCCAG